ACUUAACUGAAGAGUUUGAUCAUGGCUCAGAUUGAACGCUGGCGGCAGGCCUAACACAUGCAAGUCGAGCGGAUGAGAGGAGCUUGCUCCUCGAUUCAGCGGCGGACGGGUGAGUAAUGCCUAGGAAUCUGCCUAGUAGUG
RNAcentral lists this ribosomal RNA (141 nucleotides) under Pseudomonas oryzihabitans. RNAcentral describes it as "partial 16S ribosomal RNA". It matches the Rfam family "Bacterial small subunit ribosomal RNA", at positions 1 to 138 of the family's 1533-position model. The record is from RNAcentral. Lineage: Bacteria; Pseudomonadati; Pseudomonadota; Gammaproteobacteria; Pseudomonadales; Pseudomonadaceae.